This is an RNA transcript of Vigna umbellata (rice bean), 2282 nucleotides long. It is a transcript of the gene named heterogeneous nuclear ribonucleoprotein 1-like, with no coding region annotated. NCBI's taxonomy places the organism in Eukaryota, Viridiplantae, Streptophyta, Magnoliopsida, Fabales, Fabaceae. The record is from RefSeq and is a predicted model, not a curated record.
AACCCAACACACUCUCGCAUUCAUUUAUUCGAAGCCCUCAACCUCCAAACCCUCUCUUCCUUCUUUCUUCCUUUUUUCUUCUCCGUUCCCAAAUCAAACCUAAAUUCCCACCUUCUUCCCUCUCACCAAAUCGCCAACACACUAUUCAUUUUUAUUUAUUCAUAUAUACCUACAGAGGGAGAGAGGGGGAAUGGAUUCGGAUCAGGGAAAAUUAUUCAUCGGUGGGAUAUCGUGGGACACUACGGAGGACAAGCUCAAGGAGCAUUUCGGUAACUACGGCGACGUUUUGAGCACUUCUGUUAUGCGAGAGAAGAACACUGGCAAGCCCAGGGGCUUUGGUUUCGUCGUCUUCGCGGAUCCCACCAUUCUCGAUAGGGUUCUCGAGGAUAAACAUGUCAUAGAUGGCAGAACGGUUGAUGCCAAAAAGGCUUUCUCAAGAGAGGAUCAACAAAUUUCUGUCACCUCGAGAGGUGGAAAUUCCAAUUCUGGCAUGAAUUCUGGAAAUGGAGGAAACAUCAGAACUAAAAAGAUAUUUGUUGGAGGGCUGCCUCCUACCCUGACUGAAGAAAAAUUUCGCCAGUACUUUGAGUCUUAUGGACAUGUAACCGAUGUAGUAGUCAUGUAUGACCAGAAUACUGGACGGCCACGAGGAUUUGGUUUUAUUUCAUUUGAUACUGAGGAGGCUGUUGAUAGGGUAUUGCAUAAAUCAUUUCAUGAUUUAAAUGGUAAACAAGUUGAGGUAAAGCGUGCACUUCCCAAGGAUGCCAAUCCUGGUGCAAGUGGCCGUAUGAUGGGUGGUGCUGGAGGUGGUGGUUCUGGAAUUGGUGGGUAUCAAGGGUAUGGGGCAUCUGGUGGUAACCAAAAUGCAUAUGAUGGGCGAAUGGAUUCUAGUAGGUAUAUGCAGCCUCAAAGCGCUGCAGGUGGAUUCCCUCCUUAUGGUUCUUCUGCCUACAGUGCUCCUGGGUAUGGAUAUGGUCCGGCUAAUAAUGGUAUUGGGUAUGGUGCAUAUGGAAGUUAUGGUGGUGCCACUGCAGGGUAUGGUGGACCUGCUGGUGCAACAUAUGGGAAUCCUAAUGUUCCUAAUGCUGCUUAUGCUGGUGGUCCUCCAGGGGGCCCAAGGAGUUCAUGGCCUGCUCAGGCACCCUCUGGUUAUGGAUCUAUGGGCUAUGGGAAUACUCCUCCAUGGGGUGCUCCAAGUGGUGGUGCUGGCUCUGGUGGAAGUGGUCCUGGUUCAGCAGCUGCAGGUCAGUCCCCUGGUGGAGCUGCCGGAUAUGGGAACCAAGGUUAUGGAUAUGGGGGAUACGGUGGAUACGGUGGAAGUGAUAGUUCUUAUGCGAAUUCAAGUGCAUAUGGCACUGUUGGUGGACGAACAGGGAGUGCUCCAAACAAUAGUGCUAGUGGUCCUGGUGGGGGUGAACUAACAAGUAGUGGUGGCAGUGGUAGCUAUAUGAGUGGUGGCUAUGGGGAUGCAAAUGGAAAUUCAGGUUAUGGAAAUGCAGCUUGGAGAUCAGAACAAACUGGAAAUUAUGGAACUCCACAGGGAAAUGGUGGCCAGGUUGGUUACGGUGGUGGCUAUGGUGGUGCUCAGUCUCGACAAGCCCAACAACAGUAAUUUUGAUAGUUGGAUAUCUUGCUGGAUUUUGAAAUUCAACUUGAGGAUCCUUUGCCUUUUAAAAAUUUUAAAUCAUGAGGUCAGAAUGAAUUUUUCCAGCAGCAAAGGAGUGGCUCAAAGAUCGAUGUCAAUACACAAUGGGACUGGAGGAGAGGUGCACGAGUAUGGAAGUGGUGGAGCCAAGUGUCCACCCGUAUCUAAAGAAUGAAAUUUGGCCAGUCUUAUUGUGUUUUUCUGGACCAACGCAUCACCAAAUUGGAGAUUUCUGGCUUUGUGAGAAAAAUUUCCUUAACUUUCCAUCUGGUCUGUGGUGGCGGAAAGAUAGAGAGAGUUAGCAGCACAUUGACUAUUUCAGUUGGCCUAGGCCCUAUUCUAUAGAAUUUUAUCCUAUCCUAUCUUGUGUGUCCAGUGAUUUAUGUUUUUUAUGUGUUGGAGCUCAGUAUAAUUUCAUGUCUAAGUUGGAAAAUUUUUAAUCUUUUCUUCUCUAAACUAAUGUUGUUUUAUAGGGCAAGUGCUUUAUCUUACACCCAAAGGUUAAAUAGCCAUUUCAUUUUCAUUUAUAACAGUAACUCUUAUUCAAAUGUAAAUUUAAAGUAAGAUAAGAGUUACCAACUCAAUUUUACAUCAAGCAUUGUCAGGUAUAGAAUUGAAAUGCUUUAAUGCUAGUUAA